AGAGCGAACGCUGGCGGCAGGCCUAACACAUGCAAGUCGAACGGAUCCUUCGGGAUUAGUGGCGGACGGGUGAGUAACACGUGGGAACGUGCCUUUUGGUUCGGAACAACUCAGGGAAACUUGAGCUAAUACCGGAUGUGCCCUUCGGGGGAAAGAUUUAUCGCCAUUAGAGCGGCCCGCGUCUGAUUAGCUAGUUGGUGGGGUAAAGGCCUACCAAGGCUACGAUCAGUAGCUGGUCUGAGAGGAUGAUCAGCCACAUUGGGACUGAGACACGGCCCAAACUCCUACGGGAGGCAGCAGUGGGGAAUCUUGCGCAAUGGGCGAAAGCCUGACGCAGCCAUGCCGCGUGAAUGAUGAAGGUCUUAGGAUUGUAAAAUUCUUUCACCGGGGACGAUAAUGACGGUACCGGAGAAGAAGCCCCGGCUAACUUCGUGCCAGCAGCCGC
Molecule: ribosomal RNA, 445 nt
Filed under: uncultured bacterium
Lineage: Bacteria
Description: SSU rRNA
Rfam family: Bacterial small subunit ribosomal RNA
Source: RNAcentral